AUGAGUGGUGUUUCUUCCAAGAGCCAUGGCCUGCUCACACAUAGAGUGUAUGGAAGUAGAAGAAAACCGAUCCCCUGCCCCUGUCACUUCAGUGUGCAAGGAAAGAGGAGAAGCAUUCGCCUAUAUUCUGUAAGUAAGCUUUUGAAAAGUUAAGAAAUUAACUGUUUAAAUUAAAAGUCUAUCUGUCAUGAUUCCUUAGAAAUGUAACAGGGACCCAGUGCUGUUAGCAUGAUCCUUUUUUGUGAAUUUUCUAACGCUUUUCUAU
RNAcentral lists this long non-coding RNA (265 nucleotides) under Aotus nancymaae (Ma's night monkey). Its description in RNAcentral is "lncRNA (ENSANAG00000039017.1)". Lineage: Eukaryota; Metazoa; Chordata; Mammalia; Primates; Aotidae. The record is from RNAcentral.